Molecule: long non-coding RNA, 2400 nt
Organism: Numida meleagris (helmeted guineafowl)
Lineage: Eukaryota; Metazoa; Chordata; Aves; Galliformes; Numididae
Source: Ensembl
AUCCCAGUGCCUCCCAGUAUAGCCCAGUACCUCCCAGUAUCACCCAGUGCCUCCCAGUUCGAUCUCAGUGCCUCCCAGUGCCUCUCAAUGGCUCCCAGUGCCUCCCAGUAUCACCUAGCAGCUCCCAGUUCUAUCCCAGUGCCUCCCAGUAUCGCCCAGUGGCUCCCAGUUCGAUCCCAGCGCCUCCCAGUAUCUCCCAGUGCCUCCCACUAUCGCUCAGUGGCUCCCAGUACAUCCCAGUACCUCCCAGUAUCACCCACUGGCUCCCAGCGCCUCCCAGUAUCGCCCAGUGCCUCCCAGUAUAUCCCAGUGCCUCUCAUUGUCUCCCAGUGGUACCCCAGUGCCUCCCAGUAUCACCCAGUGGCUCCCAGUUCGGUCCCAGUGCCUCCCAGUGGGAUCACAGCGCCUCCCAGUACAUCCCAGUGCCUCCCAGUAUCACCCAGUGGCUCCCAGUACAUCCCAGUGCCUCCCAGUAUCACCCAGUGGCUCCCAGUACAUCCCAGUGCCUCUCAUUGUCUCCCUGUGGGACCCCAGUGCCUCCCAGUAUCACCCAGUGGCUCCCAGUUCGGUCCCAGUGCCUCCCAGUGGGAUCACAGCGCCUCCCAGUACAUCCCAGUGCCUGCCAGUACCGCCCAGUGGCUCCCAGUACAUCCCAGUGCCUCCCAGUAUCGCCCAGUGGCUCCCAGUUCCAUCCCAGUGCCUCCCAGUAUCACCUAGCACCUCCCAGUUCUAUCCCAGUGCCUCCCAGUAUCGCCCAGUGGCUCCCAGUUCCAUCCCAGUGGCUCCCAGUAUCUCCCAGUGCCUCCCAGUAUCGCCCAGUGCCUCCCAGUAGCUCCCAGUGCCUCUCAGAGCCAUCCCAGUUCGAUCCCAGUGGCUCCCAGUAUCACCCAGUGCCUCCCAGUUCGAUCUCAGUGCCUCCCAGUGCCUCUCAAUGGCUCCCAGUGCUUCCCAGUAUCACCCAGUACCUCCCAGUAUCACCUAGCAGCUCCCAGUUCCAUCCCAGUGCCUCCCAGUAUCGCCCAGUGCCUCCCAGUUCGAUCCCAGCGCCUCCCAGUAUCUCCCAGUGCCUCUCAGAGCCAUCCCAGUACCUCCCAGUGUCACCCACUGGCUCCCAGUUCGAUCCCAGUGCCUCCCAGUAUCGCCCUGUGCCUCCCAGUACCUCCCAGUAUAGCCCAGUGCCUGCCGGUAUCACCCAGUGCCUCCCAGUGCCUCCCAGUAUCGCCCAGUGCCUCUCAGAGCCAUCCCAGUUCGAUCCCAGUGCCUCCCAGUACAUCCCAGUGCCUCUCAAUUUCUCCCAGCGCCUCCCAGCACCUCCCAGUUUGAUCCCAGUGCCUCCCAGUAUCGCCCAGUGGCUCCCAGUACAUCCCAGUGCCUCUCAAUAUCUCCCAGUGGGACCCCAGUGUCUCCCAGUACCGCCCAGUGGCUCCCAGAGCCUCCCAGUUCCAUCCCAGUACCUCCCAGUAUCACCCACUGGCUCCCAGUUCGAUCCCAGUGCCUCCCAGUAUCACCCAGUGCCUCUCACUGGGACCACAGCACCUCCCAGUAUCUCCCAGUGCCUCCCAGUACAUCCCAGUGCCUCUCAAUGUCUCCCAGUGCCUCCCAGUAUCGCCCAGUGGCUCCCAGUUCAAUCCCAGUGCCUCCCAGUACAUCCCAGUGCCUCCCAGUAUUGCCCAGUGGGACCCCAGUGGCUCCCAGUUCGAUCCCAGUGCCUCCCAGUAUCGCCCAGUGGCUCCCAGUUCCAUCCCAGCGCCUCCCAGUGCCUCUCAGAGCCAUCCCAGUUCGCUCCCAGUUCGCUCCCAGCGCCUCCCAGUAUCGCCCAGUUCCAUCCCAGUGCCUCCCAGUCCAGCCAGGAGGGCUCCCCAGUGCCCCCCCAGUUCACCACCCCAGUAUCUCCCAGCACAUCCAGGGAAGCUCUCAGCUCCCCCACAGCCGUCGGGGGGGCGUUCCCAGUGCCUCCCAGUAACUCCCAGUAUGCCCCAGUGCCCCCCCCCAAAUCAAUCACAGUCCCCAACAUGGCGGCGGUUCUCGCGAGAGCAGCACGUGAGGCCCCGCCCACGCCGCCCUUCCCGCCGCCGCCCCGCCAGCCAAUGGGAAAGCGGGAGGGCGGGGCUAGUCCGCGCGAUGACCCCGCCCCUAACCGCACCGCCAGCCAAUGGGAGAGCGGUGGGCGUGGCCACCGGCAGCUCCCCGCCCCGCCCACAGCCGAUGACCACGCCCCUUUCUCUAUUCCGACCAAUUGGAGCGAAGGGGGGGCGUGGUUAGAACCGCUCUCCCCGGCUCCAACAGGGCGUGACCACGCCCCUUCCGCCGACGCCGACCAAUGGGAGAGCGGGGAGGGCGGGACAACGCGAUGGCUCUGACCACGCCCCCCCCGAAGCCCCGCCCCUCGGUGCGUGCGCA